ACUUUGUUGGGGGAGUAAAAUUAGAAUGUUAUUACAACUACUUAGAUAGUAUGCACAUGAAGAGUUUUCCACCUGAAGGCUUGGCAAGGACUAGCUCUUCAAACAGAUUUGUAAAGAGAGUAAGUGGAAGGAAAUAAAAGUCAGAAUUUUCCUCUCCAGAUGUGGCCAUCACUCCUUCAGUCUUAAGACCGUGAGACACGAGGACAAUUUGCAGAAUUUGGUGGAAGCAUCAGUGUGGUGUAAUUGCCACCUUGUGAAACAUUCUGCUCUUUUAAAAACUUGGCUAACAUUUCCCAUGCACCAUGGAUGUUGCCUAUCAGGGGAGGUAAUUUAAAAUAUGUCACAUUCUCCCAGGUUUGUACAGAGCAGGAAUGAAUAAAUAAGUCAUUCAAUGCUGCUUUGGAUCUUUGUUCAGUCAGAUUUGUCCUUGUAACAUGUCAUGGGCUCGGAGUUGCCCAUGUUACAUUUCCAAAGGGCUCUUUGCAAAUCCUUUUCAAAGCUGUCAUUUGAAUCACUGCUCAUGAGUGCAGCAUUUAUAAUGGCC
This 544-nucleotide long non-coding RNA is filed under the name Homo sapiens (human). Its description in RNAcentral is "non-protein coding lnc-SRPK2-10:1". Lineage: Eukaryota; Metazoa; Chordata; Mammalia; Primates; Hominidae. The record is from RNAcentral.